CCUACGGGUGGCAGCAGUGGGGAAUAUUGCACAAUGGGGGAAACCCUGAUACAGCGACGCCGCGUGAAGGAAGAAGUAUUUCGGUAUGUAAACUUCUAUCAGCAGGGAAGAAAAUGACGGUACCUGACUAAGAAGCCCCGGCUAACUACGUGCCAGCAGCCGCGGUAAUAUGUCGGGGGCAAGCGUUAUCCGGAUUUACUGGGUGUAAAGGGAGCGUAGGCGGCGAUGCAAGGCAGAAGUGAAAGCCCGGGGCUCAACUCCGGGACUGCUUUUGAAACUGGGUGGCGAGAUUGCAGGAGAGGUAAGUGGAAUUCCUAGUGUAGCGGUGAAAUGCGUAGAUAUUAGGAGGAACACCAGUGGCGAAGGCGGCUUACUGGACUGUAAAUGACGCUGAGGCUCGAAAGCGUGGGGAGCGAACAGGAUUAGAUACCCGAGUAGUC
Molecule: ribosomal RNA, 440 nt
Filed under: uncultured bacterium
Lineage: Bacteria
Description: partial 16S ribosomal RNA
Rfam family: Bacterial small subunit ribosomal RNA
Source: RNAcentral